AUUGAACGCUGGCGGCAGGCCUAACACAUGCAAGUCGAACGGUAACAGGAAGACGCUUGCUUCUUUGCUGACGAGUGGCGGACGGGUGAGUCAUGUCUGGGCAACUGCCUGAUGGAGGGGGAUAACUACUGGAAACGGUAGCUAAUACCGCAUAACGUCGCAAGACCAAAGAGGGGGACCUUCGGGCCUCUUGCCAUCGGAUGUGCCCAGAUGGGCUGAGCUAGAAGGUGGGGUAACGGCUCACCUAGGCGACGAUCCCUAGCUGGUCUGAGAGGAUGACCAGCCACACUGGAACGGAGACACGGUCCAGACUCCUACGGGAGGCAGCAGUGGGGAAUAUUGCACAAUGGGCGCAAGCCUGAUGCAGUCAUGCCGCGUGUAUGAAGAAGGCCUUGGGGUUGUAAAGUACUUUCAGCGGGGAGGAAGGGAGUAAAGUUAAUACCUUGGCUCAUUGACGUUACCCGCAGAAGAAGCACCGGCUAACUCCGUG
This 490-nucleotide ribosomal RNA is filed under the name uncultured bacterium. RNAcentral describes it as "partial 16S ribosomal RNA". It matches the Rfam family "Bacterial small subunit ribosomal RNA", at positions 30 to 507 of the family's 1533-position model. The record is from RNAcentral.